AUUAAGGUACAAUCGUUUUCUUGUGUUGGCUUGAUUCAGUUUCUUUUUGGGUCAAUCUGACUUUUCUCUUGCACAUCACUAUUCAUGAAAAACUCACAUUUUCCGUCAAUUCCAAUUUGUGCUACCGAAGCAACAAAAUAAACAAAUUCCGACAAUUUCAGUUCUUGCUGACUUUUUAUUUCUAGGGUUUCGUUGAUUUUCGCAGAUAUUGUUGCAUCGAGGUAGUAACCAAAAGGAGCCGCACUUGGUGGGCAGCCAAUAUUAUCUUGCUAUGAAAGUUUGUUGCUGCAUUCUAAGGUCAUAUUCUUCAAAAGGAAAUGAAACUAGCCAAGGACGAGCUCGAAGACAUUUGGAUUGUGUUGUUUUUUUCUGGCAUUUCAUAUGUAUAGAAUUCCUAUUUAUUAUGAAUUUUUAAUAAAAUGUUCCUUGAUCAUUCUGUUUGAUAGAA
Long non-coding RNA from Nicotiana attenuata, 448 nucleotides. RefSeq lists it as uncharacterized. NCBI's taxonomy places the organism in Eukaryota, Viridiplantae, Streptophyta, Magnoliopsida, Solanales, Solanaceae. The transcript is spliced from 2 exons. The record is from RefSeq and is a predicted model, not a curated record.